This 403-nucleotide ribosomal RNA is filed under the name uncultured Fusibacter sp. RNAcentral describes it as "bacterial SSU rRNA". It matches the Rfam family "Bacterial small subunit ribosomal RNA", at positions 980 to 1382 of the family's 1533-position model. The record is from RNAcentral. Lineage: Bacteria; Bacillati; Bacillota; Clostridia; Eubacteriales; Fusibacteraceae.
CUUGACAUCCAAUUGACCAUCUUUUAUCGAGAUUUUGCCUUCGGGUACAAUUGAGACAGGUGGUGCAUGGUUGUCGUCAGCUCGUGUCGUGAGAUGUUGGGUUAAGUCCCGCAACGAGCGCAACCUUGUGUUUAGUUGCAAACAGGUCAAGCUGUGCACUCUAGACAGACUGCCGUGGACAACACGGAGGAAGGUGGGGAUGACGUCAAAUCAUCAUGCCCCUUAUGAUCUGGGCUACACACGUGCUACAAUGGCCGGUACAACGGGCAGCGAAGGAGCGAUCCGGAGCGAAUCCUAAAAAGCCGGUCCCAGUUCGGAUUGCAGGCUGAAACUCGCCUACAUGAAGUUGGAGUUGCUAGUAAUCGCGAAUCAGAAUGUCGCGGUGAAUGCGUUCCCGGGUCUU